GAGCCACCCAGGCACCCCAGACAAAUACUGAUACCGUACAAACGAUGCCAAAAUAGUCAAGUUCUAAUUCCUUAUUUCCAAUACUGAACAAAAAGAGAAAUGAGAGGACGUAUCACACAGGAAGUGAUAUGAUGAAAGCCUUGCAAGUAGGGAAAACGUCACAGCAUAUUCCAACAGCAGCAUAGCCCAAGCACCGAGAGAUGAAAAUGCACAGCAUAUUUAAGGAAAUAUGGAGCAGUUCAAUGGAAAUUAAAACACGGGAAAAAUGGUGUAAGACUAUACACUCAGGUACCAUACAGCAGGCAGGGAAAACAGUGACUCCUGAGAGAAGAAAAAUACAUGAAGUGAGCCCUGAGGUCACCCCAGAUCUUUAUCUAAAGAUCUGGGCUGCCCAUUGCUUGGAAUGAGCCAACGGUGCUGCUUUAAUUCUUUGAAUGUAAAAAGGAAGUAAAAUCUGGAGACUGUACUAUUCCAGUGGGGUUAAUGCUGCACAGUGGAACAACACAGCAGGACUUUAAAGAAUGAAAAGUAAUG
Hyaena hyaena (striped hyena) is the source of this 534-nucleotide long non-coding RNA. RefSeq lists it as uncharacterized. The transcript is spliced from 4 exons. NCBI's taxonomy places the organism in Eukaryota, Metazoa, Chordata, Mammalia, Carnivora, Hyaenidae. The record is from RefSeq and is a predicted model, not a curated record.